CGAUCAUACCCUUCGAGAUGGUAAACGAUGAAGCGCGAUGAAGUACAGAUAACUCAGACUGUAGUCUUCGCUCUAAUCCCUCUUUUGCCUGGAUCUCCCUUUCGGGUUUUCAAUCCACCGGGAUACCCAUUUUUGCCUAAGCCGCCCUUGCGGGUUUUCGACUUACCGGGUGUACAAAUUCUUUUCAUUUUUUAUCCCUAACUUUUUCCCGAACCUUUU
Molecule: long non-coding RNA, 219 nt
Filed under: Lathyrus oleraceus (garden pea)
Lineage: Eukaryota; Viridiplantae; Streptophyta; Magnoliopsida; Fabales; Fabaceae
Description: Pisum sativum (pea) long non-coding RNA (PSAT_LNC041352)
Source: RNAcentral